AGAUAGAAACCAACCUGGCUCACACCGGUCUGAACUCAAAUCAUGUAAAGUUUUAAAGGUCGAACAGACCUUCUUUUAUAGUCUCUACUCCAUAAAGAACCUUUAAUUCAACAUCGAGGUCGCAAACAUUCUUAUCGAUAAGAACUCUUUAAGAAAAUUACGCUGUUAUCCCUAAAGUAACUUAAUCUUUAAUCCAUUUUAAGAUCAUUAACUCAAACAUCAUUGUAAAAAAAAAAAACAGUUACUUUUAUUUUAUUCCUGUCGCCCCAACCAAAUACUCAAAAAUAAUAAUCUUCAAACAAACCAUACCUACCACUUUUUAAUAUAAAGUUUUAUAGGGUCUUAUCGUCCCUUCAGAUUAUUUAAGCCUUUUCACUUAAAAGUUAAAUUCAAUAUAUUAAUUUAAGACAGAUUAUUUCUUGUCCAACCAUUCAUUCUAGCCUCCAAUUAAAAAACUAAUGAUUAUGCUACCUUCGCACGGUC
Molecule: ribosomal RNA, 483 nt
Filed under: Cambarus friaufi
Lineage: Eukaryota; Metazoa; Arthropoda; Malacostraca; Decapoda; Cambaridae
Description: partial 16S ribosomal RNA
Source: RNAcentral